GACGAACGCUGGCGGCGUGCUUAACACAUGCAAGUCGAACGGAAAGGCCCUGCUUGCAGGGUACUCGAGUGGCGAACGGGUGAGUAACACGUGGGUGAUCUGCCCUGCACUUCGGGAUAAGCCUGGGAAACUGGGUCUAAUACCGGAUAUGACCUUCCAUGUAGUGUGGGGGGUGGAAAGAUUUAUCGGUGUGGGAUGAGCCCGCGGCCUAUCAGCUUGUUGGUGGGGUAAUGGCCUACCAAGGCGUCGACGGGUAGCCGGCCUGAGAGGGUGGACGGCCACAUUGGGCCUGAGAUACGGCCCAGACUCCUACGGGAGGCAGCAGUGGGGAAUAUUGCACAAUGGGCGGAAGCCUUAUGCAGCGACGCCGCGUGGGGGAUGACGGCCUUCGGGUUGUAAACCUCUUUCGACAGGGACGAAGCUUCGGUGACGGUACCUGCAUAGGAAGCACCGGCUAACUACGUG
This 465-nucleotide ribosomal RNA is filed under the name uncultured bacterium. RNAcentral describes it as "partial 16S ribosomal RNA". It matches the Rfam family "Bacterial small subunit ribosomal RNA", at positions 28 to 507 of the family's 1533-position model. The record is from RNAcentral.